RNAcentral lists this long non-coding RNA (5385 nucleotides) under Capsella rubella. Its description in RNAcentral is "long non-coding RNA (CRUB_LNC004127)". The record is from RNAcentral. Lineage: Eukaryota; Viridiplantae; Streptophyta; Magnoliopsida; Brassicales; Brassicaceae.
UAGCAUAUAAAGAGGAUGAAUGUUAUUAUUAUUGAUAGUGAGUUUACACAUAUAUAUACAGACACUUAAGUAACCUAGAGAUAACUAAUUACAUUAAGACCCACAUAUCUAUACAUCCUUAUACACCCCCGCAAGAUGGAGGGACUCUUGUGACACCAAUCUUGUAACAUGCUGUAAGAAACUGCUGUCUAGAGAGAGGCUUAGUGAGUGCAUCUGCUAACUGGUUCUUCGUCGAGACAUGAGAGACCCGUAACGUACCAUCUUGAAUCUGAUUUCUAGUGAAGUGAUAGUUAAGAGCAAUAUGCUUCAUACGAGAGUGGAAUACCGGGUUUGCACAAAGAUAAGUAACCCCAAUGUUAUCACAAUAUAUAAUUGGUGGAGAGCGGAGAGUGAGACCCAUCUCGUUAAGUAGAGAACAAAGCCAGCGGAGUUCAGAGGCGGUGUUCGCAACAGCCCUAUACUCAGCUUCGGUGGAAGAACGAGUAACACCACGUUGUUUCUUAGAGCUCCAAGAAAUGGGACUAUGACCAAGAUAGAUGACAUAAGCAUUAGUUGAGACAUAGUCAUCAACAUCGCCAGCCCAAUCCGCAUCUGAAAAACCAUGUAGUGCCAGUGGUGAUGAGGCUCGAAGAAAAAUACCGUGUGUUGGAGUGCCCGCAAGAUACCGAAGAACACGUUUUGCAGCUUGCCAAUGAUCUGUGGUAGGUUUAUGCAUGAACUGCGACAAGCGGUUAACUGCAUAAGAAAUAUCCGGUCUAGUGAACGCAAGGUAUUGAAGACUGCCAACUACAGACCUAUAUUGAGAAGGAUCAUCGAGCAAAGAACCACUAUGUAACGACAGUUUAGGAGAAGGAGCCAACGGUGUCGCAACGGGUUUGGCUUCGUGCAUAUUGCUCUUUGUGAGAAGAUCGAGAAUAUACUUGCGUUGCAUCAAGUGAAGACCAGCUUUGGUUCGGGUCGCCUCUAUACCAAGAAAAUAAUGGAGAUCCGUGGGAUCUUUGAUGGAGAAGCGUUCACCAAAGGAAGUAAGCGUUUGUGUAACAAGGGCUGAAUUAUUUCCUGUGACAAGAAUAUCAUCAACGUAGACCAAGACAUAGACAAACGAGGUGCCAUUGCGCUUAAUGAACAAGGAUGUAUCAGCAAGAGAAUUGAUAAAACCCGUUUGGAGUAGAUGUUGCUUAAGUGACAAGUACCAAGCCCGGGGAGCUUGCUUCAAGCCGUAGAUCGGCUUCCGCAAACGACAUACAUGACUAGGCCUAUCGGGAUCAACAAAACCUUGCGGCUGCACCAUGUACACCUCUUCAGUUAAUUCACCUUGUAGGAAAGCAUUAUUAACGUCAAGUUGUUUGAUCGGCCAGGAUUGAGCCACCGCAACAUCAAGAACCAGCCUAAUUGUUGUUGUCUUGAUAACGGGACUAAACGUUUCAGCAUAAUCAACUCCAUGACGUUGAUGGAAGCCUUUAGCCACGAGCCUUGAUUUGUACCGAUUCAGCUGUCCAUUGGGAUGAUAUUUUGUCGUAUACACCCAUUUGGAACCGAUGACAUUUUGAGACGGAUGAGGAGGAACCAAGUCCCAUGUGUGAUUGCCUAGUUGAGCGUCAUAUUCAGCAGACAUAGACUUCCGCCAACGCUCAUCUUUUAAAGCUUGAGAGACUGUUCUAGGCUCCUUGGAACUGUUUGGACCUGCAACAUGAAGAUUAACUUUUUGUUUUGGUUUACGGAUAUUAUUUUUGGCUCUAGUUGUCAUUUUGUGGACAUUUUGAGGUGGUGCUUCAGGGACAGGAUUUUGUGGUUGCUGGGGCUGAGGUAUUUGAUGAUUUUCCGACGAAGAACGUCGAGGAGAGGGAAGAGCAGAGGUUGAAGGAAGAGGGUGAGGCUGAACCGUAGGUCGCGGUUUAUUUUGGACUUGAGCAGUGGGCUCAUUAGACACAAUGUUCUGGGCCUUGGUUUGAGGCCCAUUUUGGGGAGCAGUGGGCUCAGAAAAAUGAGAUGGAGAAGAAGAAGAGGAAGCGUGAGAGUUUAGAGGCGAUACCUGCGUUGACGGGGAGGAUGGCAGUGGAGACGUAGCAUCACGGUGAAGGUCUGAGCUGGGGGUUCCACUCGACGGUUGCACAGACGGUGGUGGCAGAGAGAUCGUAGUGACGAGCCGUGACACAGCUGGUGGUGUAUCAUCACAAGAAACAAUCGAAGCUUUCUUGUUGGUGCUAAACGGGAAGAUCGAUUCAUCAAAUUGAACAUGUCUCGAUGUAUAGACACGACCAGUCGCAACAUGAAGACAAUGAUAGGCACUCUGUGUGAGAGAGUAUCCAAGAAACACACACGGCUGAGAACGACUUUGAAGCUUAUGAGUUGUAUACGGCCUUAACCACGGAAAGCAGAGACAACCAAAAAUCUUGAGCUUGUGGAUGUUUGGUUGAACUUGAAACAGCUUGAAAAAUGGAGAUUGUUGACUAAGGACUGGUGUCGACAAGCGAUUGAUGAGGUAGACCGCUGUUGUGAAAGCAUAAGGCCAAUAGGAGGUUGGAAUCGACGCCGUAGAGAGAAGAGUAAGGCCCGUUUCAACAACAUGUCGAUGUUUCCGUUCAGCUAAACCAUUAUGUUCCGGUGUGUGUGGCGGAGAUGUUAAGUGAGAGAUGCCAUGAGUAGCUAGGAAACAGCGAAGAGCAAUGAACUCACCACCAUUAUCUGAAAAUAAUGUUCCAAUCCUUUGUUGAAAACGGUUCUCUACCAAUGAUUUAAACGCAACAAACACCUCCUUGACAUCAGAUUUUUGCUUUAGCGGAUAAAGCCAAGUAUAACGUGUAAAAUGGUCAACAAGCAGAAGAUAAUAUUUGUAAUUAUCAAUAGAGAGAACCGGAGACAUCCAGACAUCGGAAUAAACAUACUCAAGAGGGCGAGUAGACUGAAUUGUGUUUUGUGUAAAGGGAAGUUUGUGACUUUUAUUAAGAGAACAAUCUGAGCAAGAUAACUGUUUGUGAGAGGAACCAGAAACAGGGAGAGUAAAAGCUGAAAGCAUAGUGUUUAAAAUAGAAGAAGACGGAUGUCCUAAACGAGAGUGCCACACCGGAAGAGAAGCACGUGAACUUGUGAAAGUAGUGAAAGCAGUGACUUGUGUUGGUGAGACUGGCCAUUCAUAGAGUUCUUGCCUAGUUCUGCCUUGAAGAAGUGGAACCCCCGUACUGAGAUCCUUCACCUGAAAGGAAGCAGGGAAGAAUUCAACGGAGACACGAUUAGCAUUACAUAGCCGAUAUACCGAAAUCAAAUUUUUUUUAACAUCGGGAACACAUAGAACUUUAUUUAAAUAAAGAUCACGUGUAGAUGAGGGAAGAAUUUUGGAACCAGUGUGAGUAAUCGGCAUUGGUGAGCCAUUUGCAGCAAUAACAUCAUCACCCCCGUUAUACGGCUCAUGGAGAGAUAAAUUUGCUAAGUCUGAGGUCAUGUGAUGAGUGGCAGCACUAUCGAUGAGCCAAGGAUUUGGAUCGUAUGAGGAGCCGAUAGCAACAUUCGCACGUGGCUGCCAAGGACGGAAAGGACUGCUUGGAGGUUGAUACGUCACUGCACGGGACUGAAACUGCGGACACCAACGUGCACUGUGACCUUGAGUGUUACAAAUCUGACACUUGCCUUUGUAACCUCGAGACCCUUGUGUAGAAACAGCAGCUUGGUUGUACGAGGAGCCACCAUACGAAUUGUGAGACUGCUUCUUAUUGUUGUUGUUGUUGGUAGCGUUAGUGUUGUUGUUGUUAUUGUUGUAGCGACCGUUGUUGCGAUGACCUUGAGUAGCCACAUUUGCUGUGACUGGAAACACAGCAGGAGAAGCUUUAGCAAGAAGUUUGGCCUCUUGAUUGAGAAGACGCUCAUGAACAUGAGUGAGUGUCGGAGUCGUAUCACGAGCUGCAAUUUGGUCAACGACUGGCUUGUAUUCUUCAGGAAGGCCAUCGAGAAUAAGUUCGACUUGAUCAUCAAGGAUCACAGGACUUCCAAGGCUAUGCAAAGUAUCAAAACGUGUUGUAAACUUCUGUAAGUACUCAUCAAUGGUGAGAGUACCUUUAGUGAUCAGUUCCAACUGAUCCUUUAGUUGACGAACAUGGCCUCUGCUCGGUUUGGCGUAAGUUUCAGCUAAGGUAUUCCAGAUCUCAGCAGCACUUGUGGUUCUUGAGAGUGUGGACUGAACAGCAGGAGAAACAGAGCCAAGAAGAGCACUGUAGAGAAGCUUGUCUUGACGACUCCAGUGAAUAAACAGCGGAUUUGGAGAAACACCGUUAUUAGUGGUGACUGUAGCAGCAGGGAUCUCAACCGAUCCAUCAAGGUGACCUACAAGUCCAUGACCAUCAACAAGAGCGUGAACCUGCAAUUUCCACACAAUAUAGUUGGUUGGAGUGAGUUUGGUGAUGUUGGACAUGUUGAUCUGAAGAAGUGUUUGAUUGUUUGUGUUGAAAGGAAUGGACUCGAUGUUGCUGUUGGAACCUUCAAGUGUGGCGGCCAUGGUAGAAGACGGCAAAGAAAUUUUUUUUUUUUUUUUUUUUUGUGUGUUUUGUUUUAGGUUUUAAGGAGCGUACUGCUCUGAUACCAUAAAGAGGAUGAAUGUUAUUAUUAUUGAUAGUGAGUUUACACAUAUAUAUACAGACACUUAAGUAACCUAGAGAUAACUAAUUACAUUAAGACCCACAUAUCUAUACAUCCUUAUAGCAUAUACUAUAAUUUAUUGUAACAAGCUGAUAAGGUGGUGUGCUAGUAGUAGAACCAGCAUGGAUGAAAGGGUAAAACUCCCACGUCCCAAGGGACAUGGGAAUGUCAACACCUCUGUUAACAACGAAUCCAUAUGGUAGCACUUCGACGUGUUACCCUUAAGACGGAUUGGAUUAGUCGAUCAAAAAUUAAUAGUAAUAAUAAUAAUAAUGGUAACAAAUUAAAUAAGCUAAAUUUUUAUUUCCAAUGUUAAUGCCCAGAAAGGGAAAGGAAAAGAACAUGACAUUCUUUUAGAUUAGAGAGAGAGAUUUAAAAUAUGUUCUUGUUGGUGGGUAGUCUCUAAUGUCUAGCUCUAGGUGGACCUCUUUCGCCUCUUGGUGAACUUCUUUGGCCUCCAGGUGGUGAAACACUUGGGUUUACAGAACCCUUGAUCUCGAAAACUAGGACAUUUUGAUCCCAAACCUUUUCUGUUAUGUAUAGUUCAACAAAACAUAUCUUUAAAUACAAAUUUUAACCUAACUAAGAGACAAAAGAAGAUGUUUCUCAUAACUAGCUAGAUACUUACUUGUAUUGAGAGAUUUGUGAUCGUAUUGUAAUCGAGCAGAGACUGUGUUUGAUGAUGCAACGAACAGGAGAAUCAUCAAUGUUAUGAACCGAAUCGCCAUGUACAUUUUUCUUGGAUCUCAAGGUGUAAAC